Molecule: ribosomal RNA, 376 nt
Filed under: uncultured organism
Description: partial 16S ribosomal RNA
Rfam family: Bacterial small subunit ribosomal RNA
Source: RNAcentral
GUAGGGUGCGAGCGUUAUCCGGAAUCAUUGGGCGUAAAGAGCUCGUGGGCGGUUCAGCAAGUCGGCUGUGAAAUUCCGAGGCUCAACCUCGGAACUGCAGUCGAUACUGCUGUGACUCGAGUCCGGUAGAGGAGAAUGGAAUUCCCGGUGUAGCGGUGAAAUGCGCAGAUAUCGGGAGGAACACCAGUAGCGAAGGCGGUUCUCUGGGCCGGCACUGACGCUGAGGAGCGAAAGCGUGGGGUAGCAAACAGGAUUAGAUACCCUGGUAGUCCACGCCCGUAAACGUUGGAUACUAGGUGUGGGGUUCCGACCAACGGUCCCCGUGCCGAAGCUAACGCAUUAAGUAUCCCCGCCUGGGAGUACGGCCGCAAGGCUA